GGGGAUGUACUGGUUUCGACGGGGGUAGAUGUUGUGUGAUAAGCGAGCUGGGAUUCCAUCAACCCCAUAAAACGGUGGAAACGCGUUAUAAACGCAGAAGAUUCUUACGCUUUAGCAGCUUAAUUGCUAACGUUCCUUUUCUUCAU
RNAcentral lists this transfer-messenger RNA (146 nucleotides) under Acidaminococcus intestini CAG:325. RNAcentral's name for it is "transfer-messenger RNA Acida_sp_D21". It matches the Rfam family "transfer-messenger RNA", at positions 1 to 158 of the family's 374-position model. Rfam says of the family: Bacterial tmRNA, also known as 10Sa RNA or SsrA, is named for its dual tRNA and mRNA-like properties. Its role is to liberate the mRNA from a stalled ribosome. The record is from RNAcentral. Lineage: Bacteria; Bacillati; Bacillota; Negativicutes; Acidaminococcales; Acidaminococcaceae.